UGCUAGUCAGCGCCUUCCAGCCAUGUGGGAGGUGCGGCAUACAGCUCAGUAACACGUGGCUAAUCUGCCCUUGGGACCGGAACACCCCCGGGAAACUGGGGCUAAUUCUCGAUAGGUAAAGAACUCUGGAAUGAGUCUUUGCUUAAAAGACAUUUAUGUUAUGCUCGUAGAUGUCGCCCAAGGAUGAGGCCGCGACCGAUCAGGUUGUUGGUGAGGUAAUGGCUCACCAAGCCUUUUACCGGUGCGGGCCGUGAGAGCGGGAGCCCGGAGAUGGGCACUGAGACAAGGGCCCAGGCCCUACGGGGCGCAGCAGUCGCGAAAACUUUGCAAUACACGAAAGUGUGACAGGGCUAUCCCGAGUGCCAUCCGCUGAGGAAGGCUUUUACCCAGUCUAGAACGCUGGGGGAAUAAGGAGAGGGCAAGUCUGGUGUCAGCCGCCGCGGUAAUACCAGCUCUCCGAGUGGUGUGGAUGUUUAUUGGGCCUAAAGCAUCCGUAGCUGGCUGAGUUAGUCCCUUGUUAAAUCCACCGAAUUAAUCGUUGGAUUGCGGGGGAUACUGCUCGGCUAGGGGACGAGAGAGGCAGACGGUAUUUCCGGGGUAGGGGUGAAAUCCUAUAAUCCCGGGAAGACCACCAGUGGCGAAGGCUGUCUGCUAGAACGCGCCCGACGGUGAGGGAUGAAAGCUGGGGGAGCGAACCGGAUUAGAUACCCGGGUAGUCCCAGCUGUAAACGAUGCAGGCUAGGUGUUUGGACGGCCACGUGCCGUUCUAGUGCCGCAGGAAAGCUGUUAAGCCUGCCGCCUGGGGAGUACGAUCGCAAGAUUGAAACUUAA
RNAcentral lists this ribosomal RNA (831 nucleotides) under uncultured crenarchaeote. RNAcentral describes it as "bacterial SSU rRNA". It matches the Rfam family "Archaeal small subunit ribosomal RNA", at positions 52 to 859 of the family's 1478-position model. Lineage: Archaea; Thermoproteati; Thermoproteota. The record is from RNAcentral.